UUGUCCUUCAGGUGCUGAAUGGCAGGGACAUGCCCCCUGGGGAAGACAGCACAUGAGGUGUGGGAGUUGGCUCUGUGGUCCGGAUCCCAACCUGAAUGAUGCUGGAGAAGAGACCUCAGAACCACUGUCAGCACCUGCACCACAGCUGGGCAGUGGUGCUGAGCCCCCAGCGCUACUCCUCCGGUGUUCUCGCCUUUGCCAAGGACCUGAUGACUUCGUCGUUGCUGCCAUCCCAAGGACAGGCUGCCAGAAGAUGCUGCAGGCACCGGAGGAUGCAUACCAGAAGCGUGGGGGUGGCCUGUUGCUGAGGUCCUGUUCGAGAACAACACUGUUGCACUGAUUUCUUUCCAUCUGUAUUUUAAAACCAAGCACCCACAGAGUCUAGGGAGAGGGUUGGGACUGGGGUUUCUGCAUUUCCUGCUUCUCGGUGGCAAAGCAGAUCCAGGGGGAGAGCCAGUGACGUGCAGCCCGAUUGGUAAGAUGGGAAAUCCCUGCUCAGCAUCCCAAAAUCCCAGGUUUGGCUUUCCUGAGACAUCCCACUGCUCUGCCACAGCCAUCCAGAGUCCCCAGUGGUAGCAGCAGUGCUAUGUGAGCAGGGAAGGCUCAACCCUGGGGGAGGGUGUGGGCCAAGAGACCCUGGCAGUGUGAAGACAUGAGGUUUUUUCACCUGGUAUCUGUGAAAUUAGCACUGAGAAGGACCAGGCUCAUCCUGUCCUCCUGUGCCCUGAGGAGCAGUUCCCACCCGCCCUCGCAGCAGCUCUGCGAUUUUUCUGAUCACAAGGAAAGCCAGUUUGGCUUGCCAACAAAGAAAUGCUUAGUUUGUAUGUCCUGAUUAUCAUUCUUCUGUCACUGUAGUGAAUUAAAACAGUUCACUGUGCUAGCAAAUGAGCAUCGGAGCUGGCAGAGGAUGAAAGGUGGAAGCAUGUGGCUGGGCAGGGUGAGGAGAGGGGAUGCAGCCCCCUUCCAGCAGUGUGAGGUGUAAAUUCAGCUGAACCUGUACUGUCAAUCCAUGGCCUGGCUGCUCUGAGGACAAGGCUCCCUCUCCAGCCAGCGCAGAGCAACCACGCUGUGUGCUUGGCCAUCUACUAUCUCCUCUACACAUCUCCUUAGUACCAGCUAAUGGGUACUGCCCUAUUUUAGCUGUAUAGGGACUAUAAUUUAUUCUGCAAGGUCUUGGGCUCUCUUCUUUUCCUCUUGCACAAAUAACUGGCUGUGCCCCUUAGCCCUAAAAAAGCUCCUUUGCUCACAGGCUGCAGCAAAGCUUCCUGCCUCCUGAUUUCCCCAGGCCACUGCCAACAGAGGGAUUUCUAUGAGAAGCACAGAGCGAAGUCGAGGGACUGCCAAAGCAGAGGAAAACAAGGCCAAGUGCACACAGAUGGUGAGCCCACAAAUUUAAUUUAAAAUCAUCCUUUAUUAUUCAAAAUAUUAAAAUUCAGGCAAUAAUGCCCAAAGGAACUGCACUGAUUAAAGUUCCCUAAUGUUUCAUGGCCAAAUCUUGCUGCUUCUUCCAAGGGUCACUGGGACAAGAAGUGAAACCCCUCUGGAGUGCAGAGAGAGGCAGGGCUGUACCUGCUGUAGAUCGUUUACCCAAACAGUUACUUACUGACCCAAUCAGCUUCACUUAAAGCAAAGCACCAGCUGUUCCUUACCCAAUUAAUGAUUGCCACAGCAAAUUAACAUGGCGUUACACCAGGCGUGGAUGUGGUCCGCAGAGUCCGGAAUGCACAGAGCAAUAUGCUAUUGCAAAAAUAAUCACAGUAAUAUCUUUACCGUUAGGUAGCAUCCUUCAUCUGGAAGGAUCGCAAGCUCCCUGUGCGCUAUAUGGCUCGCUUCGUGCAACGUGCUCUGCAGUGAGGGUGCGGAGGGCAGGAAGGAGGGUAUGUGGUUGCUGUUCCAAGGCAGAAUAAGAGGAACAGCCAGGGCAGCUUUACUGUGGUAGAGGCAGCAUUGACCACACAUGUCCAGGUCUUGGUUCCUGCAAUCCAAACAAAUUGUUAUUUCAUUGGUUGUAAAUCUGCUGGACUCAAAAUGUACCUUGAUCAUGCACCACGGACCUCUUUGAUGCCUCUCCCCUGUUGUGUGAUGUGACAGUUUGAUUGUACAGGGCUGUUGCAGGGACUUUUGGGCCCUGGUCAGGGUCACAGUUCAGCGUCAGAGCCGUUCUGCUCUGGGACAUGGCAGAUGUGGCAAGCACAGAGCCAGAUGGCCAACUGCAGUGAGCACCCCUGGGUGGGAAGAGGCCACAACGCUGGGCUGCAGAUGUGGGAAAGCCAAGCAUUGCCUCCCUGCUGAGCAUCCCCAGGUCAAGUGCUGCCUCUACAAUUCCUUCCUUGGUCCCUCUGUGCUGUGGGGCACAUGCACAGACUGCCCCUCGCCCUGUCCCUCUGUGGUGGUUCUGCAUCAUGGGGACCCAACAGCAGCGGCGUAGAGUAACUGAGCCAGUUUCUUCUUCCAUCAAAGUCCAGUUUACACAAAGGUUAAGUCUAGUUCCUAAAUACUCAUCACAGUUUUGGCUCUGCUAUGAGCCUGUGCCUUUUAUGACCCAGCCACGUUAAACCCCUUUAAGUUACAGUCCAGAUAGAUCAAUCAGCCUAGAGGGCUUUGGGACAAAGGUAUCUAGUGUUGAAGCAUUAAACUUUCCAA
Molecule: long non-coding RNA, 2643 nt
Organism: Cygnus olor (mute swan)
Lineage: Eukaryota; Metazoa; Chordata; Aves; Anseriformes; Anatidae
Exons: 3
Source: RefSeq, a predicted model, not a curated record